Molecule: non-coding RNA, 100 nt
Filed under: pig gut metagenome
Description: Pyrrolysine insertion sequence mttB
Rfam family: Pyrrolysine insertion sequence mttB
Source: RNAcentral
UAGGCAGACAGCAAAGUUCCGGAUGCUCAGGCCGCUCACGAGAAAACUCUCACCGCUUUACUGGCAGCCCAGGGUGGUGCCAAUGUUAUAUACGGUGCAG